AAAAAAAAUAACAGUGGUCAAAGUUACUUUUUUAAGUAAAACUCCAGAUUUCCUAUUAAAAAAAAAAUAAAAAAAAAACAAAAUCCAGAAAUCUCAUAUUUUCGAACAAUGAGAGAGAAACACCAUCGGCGCCGCACAGCACUCCGGGCCUCCGAGUUCGUUCUCCGGCCAUUACGCCCAACGGCGAGUGAAACCCUGAACUUCUGAAGCCUUAUGAGCAAGCGGUUUUGUGAAAUCUGUCAAGAAACAAAAAAAAUGCGGGAGUGACUCCAUCAGAAUUUGGAUUAUGGUCGGCAAGGUAGAGCUACAAGAUGAUUCGGAAACUCAAUGAUAUGGCUGGAUUCUAGAUUUCUAGAGAGGGAGGGAAAACUACUGCAGCAUGAUAAAUGGAUGGAAUGAUUGCCGUCAAAUGACCAUGGGCCCCUUAAAAUGUAUAGGCCCAUUUUCAGCGUGUCGCACGGACUUCUUUUCACUAGUGUUGGAUUUCUGAUUUCAUUUUUUCAGACUAAUUAAUAAAAGUCUACCCUUUCCCAGACUAA
Spinacia oleracea (spinach) is the source of this 539-nucleotide long non-coding RNA. RefSeq lists it as uncharacterized. The transcript has 3 exons. Lineage: Eukaryota; Viridiplantae; Streptophyta; Magnoliopsida; Caryophyllales; Amaranthaceae. The record is from RefSeq and is a predicted model, not a curated record.